CCUCAGGCAUGCUAGGCAAGUGCUCUACCACUGAGCUACACUCCUAGUUCUAUAAGCAUUUUUUUGAAUGUUGGGAAAGUUAAUCCUAUUAUGUAUGUGCCUUUUAGCCUUGUUUUUAUAUUUUUUUAGGUGUGUGUUUAUUUAACCAUACAAAAGUUUUUGUUUUUUUUAAUACCAGGAAUUAAAUCCAGGAGCACUUAACCACUGAGCCACAUCCCUAGCCCUUUAUAAUUUUUUUUUUUUUUCAAUUUUGAGACAGGGUCUUGCUAAGUUGCUUAGGACUUCAUCAAGUUGCUGAGGCUUACCUUGAAUUUGUAAUCCUCCAGCCUCAGUCUCCCGCCACUGGGAUUAUAGGCAUGCAGCACCUGGCCAAAAGUUUUAAAUUUUAAUAUAAUUAUAUUUAUCCAUCUUCUUUGGCACCUAGGUUUGUAUUAUGCUUAAAAAACAUUUAUUUUUUAAUUGUAGGUGGACACAAUACCUUUAUUUUAUUUUUAUGUGGUGCUGAGGAUCUAACCUAGUGGCUCACGCAUACUAGGUAAGCACUCUACCUCUGAGCCACAACCCCAGCUCUAUUAUGCUUUAUAAAGACCUUUUCAUCCAAGGAUUAUAAAAGAAAUUCACUCAUUUUUCUUCUAGUACAAAUCCUGUUUUUUGUUUGCUUGUUUGUUUUUGCUUAUUUUGUUUACUGGGGAUUGAACCCAGGCACUUGCACAUGCUAGACAAGUACUCUACCAUGAAGCUGUAUCCCCAACCCUACUGCUUUAGUUUUUCAUACUUGCUUUUUUUGCUUCAGAUUGGUUUAAAAAGUGACUUCUAUCCAGGCACAGUGGUGCAUACCUGUAAUCCCAGCAGUUUGGGAGGCUGUAGCAGGAGAAUGACAAGUUCAAAACCAGCUUCAGGGCUGG
RNAcentral lists this long non-coding RNA (905 nucleotides) under Marmota monax (woodchuck). Lineage: Eukaryota; Metazoa; Chordata; Mammalia; Rodentia; Sciuridae. The record is from RNAcentral.